ACGGUAUUCCCCGGAAAGAAAUUAAAACUAUUGAUUCAGAGGUACAUUUAGGAUCUAAACAUCUAUCUAACCGUGUUGAUUGCUGGAAAGAAACAUGUCUGGCAGUUUCUAUUACGUCAUGGUUGGUCAUCAUGACAACCCAGUCUUUGAAAUGGAGUUCUUGCCUGCUGGUAAAGCUGAGUCAAAGGAUGACCACCGGCAUCUGAACCAGUUUAUUGCACAUGCAGCUCUCGACUUGGUGGAUGAAAACAUGUGUCUAACAACAUGGUACCUGAAAACUGUGGACAAGUUCAAUGAGUGGUUUGUCUCUGCCUUUGUCACCGCAGGACAUAUCCUUUUUUGACUACUACCCAAGACCUACACGUAAGUAAGUAGCAGUGUCUGAAGCAGAAUGGCCAUGUACUCUUAUAAUCUCCACCCGGCACAGCCAGUAGAGGAUUGACCA
Molecule: long non-coding RNA, 445 nt
Organism: Salmo salar (Atlantic salmon)
Lineage: Eukaryota; Metazoa; Chordata; Actinopteri; Salmoniformes; Salmonidae
Source: RefSeq, a predicted model, not a curated record